AGCUUUGCGCAGUGGCAGUAUCGUAGCCAAUGAGGUCUAUCCGAGGCGCGAUUAUUGCUAAUAGAAAACACUCAAUGUGGCAGCUGUAGCUGCUCUGGGGGAGAGAGAAGGAUCGCCUGAUGCCAGACUUUUCUGUGAGAUAACUUUUCUGAAUCACUAGGGA
Molecule: small nuclear RNA, 163 nt
Organism: Rattus norvegicus (Norway rat)
Lineage: Eukaryota; Metazoa; Chordata; Mammalia; Rodentia; Muridae
Product: U4 spliceosomal RNA
Source: Ensembl